GACGAACGCUGGCGGCGUGCUUAACACAUGCAAGUCGAACGGAAAGGCACUGCUUUUGUGGGGUGCUCGAGUGGCGAACGGGUGAGUAACACGUGUGUAACCUGCCCUUGACUUUGGGAUAACUUCACGAAACUGGGGCUAAUACCGGAUCGGAGCUCCUGCUGCAUGGUGGGGGUUGGAACGUUUCGGCGGUUGGGGUUGGACUCGCGGCUUAUCAGCUUGUUGGUCGGGGAGUGGCUUACCCAGGCUUUGACGGGUAGCCGGCCUGGGAGGGUGACCGGGGACAUGGGGACUGAGAGACGGCGCAGACUCCUACGGGGGGCAGCGGGCGGAAAUAUUGCACAAUGAGCGGGAGUCUGAUGCGACGACGCCGGGGUCGUGAUGACGGCCUUCGGGGUGUGAACCGCUUUCGCCUGUGACGAAGCGUGAGUGACGGUAAUGGGUAAAGAAGCACCGGCUAACUACGUG
Molecule: ribosomal RNA, 468 nt
Filed under: uncultured bacterium
Lineage: Bacteria
Description: partial 16S ribosomal RNA
Rfam family: Bacterial small subunit ribosomal RNA
Source: RNAcentral